RNAcentral lists this long non-coding RNA (1240 nucleotides) under Salmo salar (Atlantic salmon). RNAcentral's name for it is "lncRNA (ENSSSAG00000089908.1)". Lineage: Eukaryota; Metazoa; Chordata; Actinopteri; Salmoniformes; Salmonidae. The record is from RNAcentral.
UGAAAGAAAACAAUAACUCCACUGUAACUUCCACCUCUCCUUAAAUAGAUAGCACCGCACCAGCAGUCUUUACUGUCACCAGUCAACCUCCUUUUUCCCCCUUCCCCGCCCCUCAACACCUGUCCCGCGCUACCCACUCACAUCGACCCACUGACCGGGAGCGCGCACCAGCCGAAGAUGUGAUUGCGGCUUCACGGAUAGCGAGAGAGGGAGUCCUGUACCGCAUUACACGAAAUAACGAGCACAGGCACACACUUACACACAUGCUACUGCAGAGCUGACACACACAGCGGAGAAAAGAGAGGGAACAGCGAAAUAUCUGCGGUCACGCCACUGGCACGCAGGUGCUGCUGUUUCAUUUUCUAAACAGUGUUGUUCUCUGCUGACGUGACUGGUGUCAGAACUUCUCUAGUCUCUGUGCUGAAUGGCUUUUGGAUGUUGAUGGCUGACAUCUGACCUCGAGCAAGUCCAACAUUACAGCUUUGCUCCAAUUGACCCUGCUCCCCAGGGUAGUGAAAUGAACCCUGUAACCACGCAGAAUGAACCCUGUAACCACGCAGAAUGAACCCUGUCACCACGCAGAAUGAACCCUGUCACCACGCAGAAUGAACCCUGUCACCACGCAGAAUGAACCCUGUCACCACGCAGAAUGAACCCUGUCACCACGCAGAAUGAACCCUGUCACCACGCAGAAUGAAUCCUGUAACCACGCAGAAUUAAUACAUCGCAAAUAGACGUUCAUCCAUAAUACAUCGAAUUUCAAAGGGAAACUAUGAGAUCUUGUUGAUGAUUUGGCUGUGUCUCUGGAGCUGUGGACGUGGCAGGGUCGGAUAAGCCUGCAUAUAAGGAAUAACUUUGGGAAUAACUUUGGAAAUAAUGCUGGGAAUAAUGCUUAUACUGAUGUCUUUAGCAGUUGGACUAAAGCAAACAUAGCCUUUCAUAGUCUGAGAGAAAAAUAUAUUUUGGAAUACAAGUUAUGGAUUUAAUAUAAGUACAAGGUUUUUAUUUAUGUACACAGAUACUGUAUUUUAUUUUAGCAUCAUUAAACAUUUGAUCAUUUACUCAACGACAGCAGGCCUUACAUCGUGUGAAUUUCCAUGAAAAAGCUACAGUCAGAAUGUCUAGUAAUGAGUUUACAUCAGUUUGAGAUGUUACUGCAUCAUAGACCAUGUUAUAUAUCAACAACUCUUCAGACCCAUACAUUCUAAUGUCAUUUGUCCAAGAUGAAGUUACCGUUCGG